This 253-nucleotide ribosomal RNA is filed under the name uncultured bacterium. Its description in RNAcentral is "partial 16S ribosomal RNA". It matches the Rfam family "Bacterial small subunit ribosomal RNA", at positions 524 to 776 of the family's 1533-position model. The record is from RNAcentral.
UACGGAGGGUGCAAGCGUUGUCCGGAAUCACUGGGCGUAAAGGGCGCGUAGGCGGCUCAUGAAGGCUGUGGUGAAAGUCCGGGGCUCAACCCCGAGUCGGCCGUCGAUACUCCCGUGCUGGAGCACUGUAGAGGCAGGUGGAAUUCCGGGUGUAGCGGUGGAAUGCGUAGAGAUCCGGAAGAACACCGGUGGCGAAGGCGGCCUGCUGGGCAGUAGCUGACGCUGAUGCGCGACAGCGUGGGGAGCAAACAGG